UAUUCUUCUAUUGACAUUAGUAAUACUAAAUGACACAAUGAAAGAAUGAAGGAUUGAAGAUGAAGUAUAGCCUCACAAAAUAAUUUUAUUUAGUAAAUGAUUAUGAAUGUUAGUUAUUUUUCCCUUAGCAAGUUAGUUAUAAACACAAUUGAAAUUGCUUUAUAUAAGAAGCAACAAACCUCAGCAUAAUUCACACGAAUGAUUCAAAACUACCAUUGGAGCAUUCUUUUCACUUCUCUACUUAUAUUUCUCUAAUUCAAAUAGAAACUUCUAUGUCUAUGAAAUUCUAUAUGAUAUUAGAGCGUUCAAUUUGAAAGUUCUAAUUUCUACUGCAAAUUAUGUAAACAUCUUCCUUAAUCGAAGAAAUUUCAACACUCAAUUUUUCAAGAAAAUUUCAAGAAAUCAAGAAUGUCGAAUUAUCAAGGUUUUGUUUCUACAGAACAUGAAUUACAGAGUCCUAUUUACAGCAAUGAAGCUCAAAAUUCUGCUAGUCCUUACUAUCUUAAUUUAGGAGAGAAUCCUAGAGCGGUUCUCAUACCAUCCUUGUCGCGCCCCGGUUUUCGGUUGCACGACUUUGUUUAGAGUCGCCAUUACAUUUUAUAGUUAAAAAUGUAGAAAAAUCUUUAAAACCCAAUCACAUUAGGCUUUUGGAUUUUGAUAUCCAGGUUUGGGGGUUGGUUACAAAAUAGGAAAGAUAUUAGCACCCUAUCCACCCGCCUUAAGCUGUACCCUUCAUUAAAAUAUAUGACAUUAUUAUUAUUUAUUUAUUAAAUUGUCUGAUUAAUUAGUUACUUAUUAUGAAAAAAUAUUAUUUAUUUUCAUUAUUGAGCCUGACAAUAUUGAAUUUGGUCCUACGUAC
This 859-nucleotide long non-coding RNA is filed under the name Lupinus angustifolius (narrow-leaved blue lupine). Its description in RNAcentral is "long non-coding RNA (LANG_LNC003395)". Lineage: Eukaryota; Viridiplantae; Streptophyta; Magnoliopsida; Fabales; Fabaceae. The record is from RNAcentral.